GCCUGGGUAGCUCAGUCGGUUGAGCGUCCGACUUCAGCUCAGGUCAUGCAUGAUCUUGCAGUUCAUGAGUUCAAGCCCUGCCUCGGGCU
This 89-nucleotide transfer RNA is filed under the name Felis catus (domestic cat). It matches the Rfam family "tRNA". From Rfam's summary of the family: Transfer RNA (tRNA) molecules are approximately 80 nucleotides in length. Their secondary structure includes four short double-helical elements and three loops (D, anti-codon, and T loops). Further hydrogen bonds mediate the characteristic L-shaped molecular structure. tRNAs have two regions of fundamental functional importance: the anti-codon, which is responsible for specific mRNA codon recognition, and the 3' end, to which the tRNAs corresponding amino acid is attached (by aminoacyl-tRNA synthetases). tRNAs cope with the degeneracy of the genetic code in two manners: having more than one tRNA (with a specific anti-codon) for a particular amino acid; and 'wobble' base-pairing, i.e. permitting non-standard base-pairing at the 3rd anti-codon position. The record is from Rfam by way of RNAcentral. RNAcentral also lists the same sequence under 3 other names. Lineage: Eukaryota; Metazoa; Chordata; Mammalia; Carnivora; Felidae.